Megalobrama amblycephala (Wuchang bream) is the source of this 994-nucleotide long non-coding RNA. RefSeq lists it as uncharacterized. The record is from RefSeq and is a predicted model, not a curated record. The transcript has 6 exons. NCBI's taxonomy places the organism in Eukaryota, Metazoa, Chordata, Actinopteri, Cypriniformes, Xenocyprididae.
GGUUUGCCAACCACCAUAAAACAUCUAAAGAAGUAGAAGAAGUAGAAUACAUUAGGAGGGUUCGCAGACUGGAAGUUCUUUUUCUGUCUCGGAGCGGUGUGGCGUUCGGCAUCCGAGAGAUCAUGAACUAGAUCUGCUCCGGUUGUGGCAGAGAUACGCUGAGAUCAAGCUUUUUGCGUCAACAUCUGUCUCCAGUUCAGGAGACAUUUGCCAUGUCUCCACUCAACAUUUGUCUUCAGUGCCAGAUUACAUCACUGUUAAAAGUUUGCCAAGUACCUUCCCCAUUCUGGCUGUCACUACUCUACUCUACCAAACCAUUUCCAUAAGGCCUAGUGCCCCACUGUGGGGCACGUGACAAACUUGGAUGAUGCACGACACUAAUAAUGGUAGCUCUUGACCGUAAACCUCAAGCAUGGAUUCUAGAUCAUCCAACUCCUUACAGGAGAGAUGCUGGUGAAUGCGGUCAUUAAUAGCAUCCCCCGUAUCGGUCAGGAGGCAGGCUGUAGAGAUGUCUUCCCUUUGCAGAAUCCACCAGUUGCUGUGUACUGGUGAGAGAGAAGCUGUUUUCUGGAACAUUGGGUGUGCAGAGUGUCUGGCCCAUGAGCUCAUCCGUGCCGCUGAGGGAUCAUCAAACACCAUCAAGAAAGAUGACCUGAGAAAACAUUGUGAUGCCCACCUUAUCCACCCCCCCCCCCCCCCCCCCCAAAAAAAAUUUGUUGCUUUCACGAGAACAAAAUUUGAAUAAACUUAUGAUUGUCAAUGUGUCAUACCAUUAUUUUUGAUAUCUACAAUAUCUGAAGAGGAAACACCCAUCAUUUUCAAACCCUGUUGUUUGACAAAUGUGUUUAUAUGCAUUUUUUUUUUUUGUAAUUUAACGUCACAUUGUCCAGGUAAAAUAAAAAAAAAAACACUUCUUGCAUGACCAAAAAAGAAACUUGGAUUACAUUAAGUGAAUGUAAUGUUAUAUUAAAACCAAAUCUAUACACAAGUUUAA